UACGAGUGCCUCAAGCGUUAUCCGGAAUCAUUGGGCGUAAAGGGUGUGUAGGUGGUUAUAUUAGUCUUUUGUUAAAUUCUUCGGCUUAACCGGGGGCAUGCAAAGGAAACGGUAUGACUAGAGGAUGCGAGGGGUCUGCGGAACUCAUAGUGUAGCGGUAAAAUGCGUUGAUAUUAUGGGGAACACCAAAAGCGAAGGCAGCAGACUGGAGCACUCCUGACACUGAAACAAGAAAGCGUGGGUCGCGAAUGGG
Molecule: ribosomal RNA, 253 nt
Filed under: uncultured bacterium
Lineage: Bacteria
Description: partial 16S ribosomal RNA
Rfam family: Bacterial small subunit ribosomal RNA
Source: RNAcentral